GCUGGCGGCAGGCCUAAUACAUGCAAGUCGAGCGCGCCCUUCGGGGUGAGCGGCGGACGGGUGAGUAACGCGUGGGAAUAUGCCCUUCUCUAAGGAAUAGCCUCUGGAAACGGAGAGUAAUACCUUAUACGCCCUUUGGGGGAAAGAUUUAUCGGAGAAGGAUUAGCCCGCGUUAGAUUAGGUAGUUGGUGGGGUAAUGGCCUACCAAGCCUACGAUCUAUAGCUGGUUUGAGAGGAUGAUCAGCCACACUGGGACUGAGACACGGCCCAGACUCCUACGGGAGGCAGCAGUAGGGAAUCUUAGACAAUGGGGGCAACCCUGAUCUAGCCAUGCCGCGUGUGUGAUGAAGGCCCUAGGGUCGUAAAGCACUUUCGCCAGAGAUGAUAAUGACAGUAUCUGGUAAAGAAACCCCGGCUAACUCCGUGCCAGCAGCCGCGGUAAUACGGAGGGGGUUAGCGUUGUUCGGAAUUACUGGGCGUAAAGCGCACGUAGGCGGAUUAGUAAGUUAGAGGUGAAAUCCCAGGGCUCAACCCUGGAACUGCCUUUAAUACUGCUAGUCUUGAGUUCGAGAGAGGUAAGUGGAAUUCCGAGUGUAGAGGUGAAAUUCGUAGAUAUUCGGAGGAACACCAGUGGCGAAGGCGGCUUACUGGCUCGAUACUGACGCUGAGGUGCGAAAGUGUGGGGAGCAAACAGGAUUAGAUACCCUGGUAGUCCACACCGUAAACGAUGAAUGCCAGACGUCAGCAAGUAUACUUGUUGGUGUCACACCUAACGGAUUAAGCAUC
This 786-nucleotide ribosomal RNA is filed under the name uncultured Planktomarina sp. RNAcentral describes it as "bacterial SSU rRNA". It matches the Rfam family "Bacterial small subunit ribosomal RNA", at positions 35 to 868 of the family's 1533-position model. Lineage: Bacteria; Pseudomonadati; Pseudomonadota; Alphaproteobacteria; Rhodobacterales; Paracoccaceae. The record is from RNAcentral.